AGGGAUCAAUUGUUAGUGACACGUAGGAGGGUGGGGAACGAUGCUAUAUACGUGUUUUAAAUUAGCUACUAAAAGAAUCCAUCCCUAUAUUUCAAAAAAGGAGAAGUAAAUAAGUUGGUGGAUUUCUUUCAACAAAAAAUCAAUCAAAUUCCUAGUCUUAAUCAGAUUUUGCUACGUGACGUGAACGCUGGCUAUUGGAUUUUCUCAGUAUCUCUUAGUGUUCUAAUUAAUGUUAACUUUAGUUUUUUAGCACUGUAAGCUUUAUUUGUGUUUCUUUCACAUCGUUUUCUUACUUUGAUUUUCUGGUUAUUUAGAUUAUUUUGUCUUGUAUAACCCAUAUAGAUUGCUGGUGGGCCAACCUUUUGCAUUCCUCUUCUAUACUAUUCGGCAGUGUUAAAUUUGAUGGAAACUAGCAUAAGUGCACAUAUAAUCCACAAAAUUUGAUUGUCUUGUAUAUCCCUAAUCUCG
Molecule: long non-coding RNA, 468 nt
Filed under: Setaria viridis
Lineage: Eukaryota; Viridiplantae; Streptophyta; Magnoliopsida; Poales; Poaceae
Description: long non-coding RNA (SVIR_LNC005064)
Source: RNAcentral